Molecule: ribosomal RNA, 246 nt
Filed under: Triticum aestivum (bread wheat)
Lineage: Eukaryota; Viridiplantae; Streptophyta; Magnoliopsida; Poales; Poaceae
Description: partial small subunit ribosomal RNA
Source: RNAcentral
AUGAUCCGCAGCUGGUCCAGGCCAUCGCCCAGAUGGACAACGAGGCGCUGGUGCCAAAUCCACUGGAGAACCUCGCUGCCUACCACGGCCCCUUGCCCCAGAUCCAGUAUCACGCUCCACUGCCACCGCUCCAGGUCCGGCAUCAAGGCCCCCUGCUCCCUCCUCCCCAGGUCCAGCAUCAAGCCCCCUCCUCGAAGACGACGACGACCCCAUCAGGGACGUCUCGAAGCUCUUCAAAGAAGGUAA